Molecule: ribosomal RNA, 445 nt
Filed under: uncultured bacterium
Lineage: Bacteria
Description: SSU rRNA
Rfam family: Bacterial small subunit ribosomal RNA
Source: RNAcentral
AGAACGAACGCUGGCGGCAGGCCUAACACAUGCAAGUCGAACGCGACCUUCGGGUCGAGUGGCGCACGGGUGAGUAACGCGUGGGAAUCUGCCCUGUGGUACGGAAUAACAUCGGGAAACUGGUGCUAAUACCGUAUAUCCCCUGAGGGGGAAAGAUUUAUCGCCAUGGGAGGAGCCCGCGUAGGAUUAGCUAGUUGGUGAGGUAACGGCUCACCAAGGCGACGAUCCUUAGCUGGUCUGAGAGGAUGAUCAGCCACACUGGGACUGAGAUACGGCCCAGACUCCUACGGGAGGCAGCAGUGGGGAAUAUUGGACAAUGGGGGAAACCCUGAUCCAGCCAUGCCGCGUGUGUGAUGAAGGCCUUCGGGUUGUAAAGCACUUUCGCACGUGACGAUGAUGACGGUAACGUGAGAAGAAGCCCGGCUAACUUCGCGCCAGCAGCCGC